Molecule: ribosomal RNA, 254 nt
Filed under: uncultured bacterium
Lineage: Bacteria
Description: partial 16S ribosomal RNA
Rfam family: Bacterial small subunit ribosomal RNA
Source: RNAcentral
CACGUAGGGUGCAAGCGUUGUCCGGAAUCAUUGGGCGUAAAGAGCUCGUAGGCGGCUUAGUAAGUCGGGUGUGAAAACCCCAGGCUCAACCUGGGGACGCCACCCGAUACUGCUAUAGCUAGAGUCCAGUAGGGGAGUGUGGAAUUCCCAGUGUAGCGGUGAAAUGCGCAGAUAUUGGGAGGAACACCAGCGGCGAAGGCGGCACUCUGGGCUGGUACUGACGCUGAGGAGCGAAAGCGUGGGGAGCAAACAGG